AAUACGAAGGGGGCUAGCGUUGCUCGGAAUUACUGGGCGUAAAGGGCGCGUAGGCGGAUAGUUAAGUCAGGGGUGAAAGCCCGGGGCUCAACCUCGGAAUUGCCUUUGAUACUGGAUAUCUUGAGUACGGAAGAGGUAUGUGGAACUCCGAGUGUAGAGGUGAAAUUCGUAGAUAUUCGGAAGAACACCAGUGGCGAAGGCGACAUACUGGUCCGUUACUGACGCUGAGGCUCGAAAGCGUGGGGAGCAAACAG
Molecule: ribosomal RNA, 254 nt
Filed under: uncultured bacterium
Lineage: Bacteria
Description: partial 16S ribosomal RNA
Rfam family: Bacterial small subunit ribosomal RNA
Source: RNAcentral